UGCCAGCCGCCGCGGUAAUACGGAGGGAGCGAGCGUUAAUCGGAAUUACUGGGCGUAAAGCGCGCGUAGGCGGCUUUGUAAGUCGGAUGUGAAAGCCCUGGGCUCAACCUGGGAAUUGCACUCGAUACUGCAGAGCUAGAGUAUGGUAGAGGGAAGUGGAAUUUCCGGUGUAGCGGUGAAAUGCGUAGAUAUCGGAAGGAACACCAGUGGCGAAGGCGACUUCCUGGGCCAAUACUGACGCUGAGGCGCGAAGGCGUGGGUAGCGAACGGGAUUAGAUA
Molecule: ribosomal RNA, 279 nt
Filed under: uncultured bacterium
Lineage: Bacteria
Description: partial 16S ribosomal RNA
Rfam family: Bacterial small subunit ribosomal RNA
Source: RNAcentral